RNAcentral lists this ribosomal RNA (253 nucleotides) under uncultured bacterium. RNAcentral's name for it is "partial 16S ribosomal RNA". It matches the Rfam family "Bacterial small subunit ribosomal RNA", at positions 524 to 776 of the family's 1533-position model. The record is from RNAcentral.
UACGAAGGGGGCUAGCGUUGCUCGGAAUUACUGGGCGUAAAGCGCACGUAGGCGGAUUUGUAAGUCAGGGGUGAAAUCCCGGGGCUCAACCUCGGAACUGCCUUUGAUACUGCAAGUCUUGAGUCCGGAAGAGGUGAGUGGAAUUCCUAGUGUAGAGGUGAAAUUCGUAGAUAUUAGGAAGAACACCGGUGGCGAAGGCGGCUCACUGGUCCGGUACUGACGCUGAGGUGCGAAAGCGUGGGGAGCAAACAGG